This 575-nucleotide ribosomal RNA is filed under the name uncultured bacterium. RNAcentral describes it as "bacterial SSU rRNA". It matches the Rfam family "Bacterial small subunit ribosomal RNA", at positions 820 to 1394 of the family's 1533-position model. The record is from RNAcentral.
GUGUGGGGGUCCUUCCACGACCUCCGUGCCGCAGCUAACGCAUUAAGCGCCCCGCCUGGGGAGUACGGCCGCAAGGCUAAAACUCAAAGGAAUUGACGGGGGCCCGCACAAGCGGCGGAGCAUGCGGAUUAAUUCGAUGCAACGCGAAGAACCUUACCAAGGCUUGACAUGCACGGGAAAGUUCCAGAGAUGGUUCCCCCGCAAGGUCCGUGCACAGGUGGUGCAUGGUUGUCGUCAGCUCGUGUCGUGAGAUGUUGGGUUAAGUUCCGCAACGAGCGCAACCCUUGUCUUAUGUUGCCAGCACGUUAUGGUGGGGACUCAUAAGAGACUGCCGGGGUCAACUCGGAGGAAGGUGGGGAUGACGUCAAAUCAUCAUGCCCCUUAUGUCUUGGGCUUCACGCAUGCUACAAUGGCCGGUACAAAGGGCUGCGAAACCGUGAGGUGGAGCGAAUCCCAAAAAGCCGGUCUCAGUUCGGAUUGGGGUCUGCAACUCGACCCCAUGAAGUCGGAGUCGCUAGUAAUCGCAGAUCAGCAACGCUGCGGUGAAUACGUUCCCGGGCCUUGUACACUCCGCC